RNAcentral lists this ribosomal RNA (467 nucleotides) under uncultured bacterium. RNAcentral's name for it is "partial 16S ribosomal RNA". It matches the Rfam family "Bacterial small subunit ribosomal RNA", at positions 28 to 507 of the family's 1533-position model. The record is from RNAcentral.
GAUGAACGCUGACAGAAUGCUUAACACAUGCAAGUCAACUUGAAUUUGGGUUUUUAACUUAGGUUUGGGUGGCGGACGGGUGAGUAACGCGUAAAGAACUUGCCUCACAGCUAGGGACAACAUUUGGAAGCGAAUGCUAAUACCUAAUAUUAUGAUAAUAGGGCAUCCUAUAAUUAUGAAAGCUAUAAGCGCUGUGAGAGAGCUUUGCGUCCCAUUAGCUAGUUGGAGAGGUAACGGCUCACCAAGGCGAUGAUGGGUAGCCGGCCUGAGAGGGUGAUCGGCCACAAGGGGACUGAGACACGGCCCUUACUCCUACGGGAGGCAGCAGUGGGGAAUAUUGGACAAUGGACCAAGAGUCUGAUCCAGCAAUUCUGUGUGCACGAUGAAGUUUUUCGGAAUGUAAAGUGCUUUCAGUUGGGAAGAAAGAAAUGACGGUACCAACAGAAGAAGUGACGGCUAAAUACGUG